Molecule: long non-coding RNA, 1240 nt
Filed under: Coturnix japonica (Japanese quail)
Lineage: Eukaryota; Metazoa; Chordata; Aves; Galliformes; Phasianidae
Description: lncRNA (ENSCJPG00005008083.1)
Source: RNAcentral
AUGACUGGCCUUUGUUUCAGCAUGAUGUUUGCUCUGAUUUUUGUACCUAUGACAUGUAUUCUGAUGCUUAAGAGGUUGAAAAUAUCAUGCUGGUCCAGUGUACCAAAUCCAAGAAAGAGCAGUGCAAUCCAAGAAAUGGCAAGUACAAUUCCAUCGUGUGAAAAAAAAAUGUACUCGGAAAAUCUUGCCUGCUUAUUAGUCACUAGCACUAGCUGUUACUGUUUUCACACUUCAUCCUAACAUAAAUCUCAUUUCAGCAGCUGAGUAGCAUCAGAAACACACAACUGGGAAGGUUAUUGUUUAGGCAGAGACUGUACACAUCUUUUAGCUUAAUGAAGGUUCACAGACUCCCUUUGAAAACACUGUAGAGCAUAUUUAAAUGACUUGUUGUUAAAAGAACAAGUCUUUCCUCUUGUACAUAUCAGUUUAUCUCCCAAGUCUCAGGCUGCUAACUAUUAUCGUUUUGGAACAUGAACUUGUACUGUUUCCUUUUAAAAUCAUUUUGAUUUUCCUGGCAGACCUGAACAAAGUUUGGCACUUGUCUAGGUUCUCGGGCCAAAACUGCAUGCUAUAGCAAAGCAGACUUGCGUCUAUUUUGGACAAUAAGCCUAAAUCAAGUGAAAUACAUAUUUCUUGAUGUAUCCUGAUGGACAGAGAUACAAAUAUGUUACUUCUUUGUUUCUAAGAUUUAAGCUGAUGAGAGGAAUUGUAUGUCAUUGUCAAGUUAAGCUGAAGUCAGAGGUUGGAGAGCUUAAAGUUACAUAUUCACACAGAAAAAGGCAAGUGCACAACUAAAGAUCAGAACAGAAGCUGGAAGAUGAUAGUAUCUACAGCCCAGCACUGUCCAAAUCUAAGACAACAGAACCAAAUAACUAGCAAUGACAUUUAUGAAGGUACUGAUACGCUGUUCAUAAUCAAAAGGUUAGAUGAAGAUAAGGGUUUUUUUUCCUCUUUUCGUAUAACACAGAAGUCCGAAAAUCUGCCUUUCGCUUUUCCUAUUUAAUAGUAAUCAAGCAGUUUGCUCUCCAAUAGGAGCUGCAAUCUCUCUACACAUUAGUGAGACUAGGGAGAUGAUGAGGGCAUGAUUUAGUGCCGUGGCUGAUGAGGAGAAGACUUUGUGGGCUUCAGUCAUAAUUUAAGACAGCUGAAUUGAGAAGAUUAAUGUGUGUGUGCAAGGGCUGGCACAGACCAUACUUUGGUGCUGUAACUUCUCAGAAUACGAUAGGUAGGAACAGAUCCU